Molecule: long non-coding RNA, 7659 nt
Filed under: Homo sapiens (human)
Lineage: Eukaryota; Metazoa; Chordata; Mammalia; Primates; Hominidae
Description: HSALNT0154465
Source: RNAcentral
UCCCAAAGAGCUGGGAUUACAGGCAUGAGCCACCGCACCCGGCCAGAAUAUUUUAAUUAAUUUUUUUCCUCUAACAUAUUUCACAAAACACACUUUUGCAAAGACCAGAAUACAAGCACACCUCUGUAUUUUAUGUCGUUGCUGUUGUUGCCAUCAUACUCCUCUGAGAGUGUAUGGAGGUCCACACCCAACUUUCUUGGUAAAACAGCAUCCUAUUUUUAUCUGUUGGAUUUUCAAUUCUAAGAUUCAAAUCCAAGCAUCUUCUUGCUUGUAGGCAAAGUGACCACUAGAGGGAAGCAACUGCCAGGCAGAGCAAUUUCUUCACGCCAUGGGUAAUUUGAUCCCUGUGUGUCAUACUCCAAGGGUUUGGACAGAAUACCUAGUUCUAACAGGAAGUUAGUAGUCACGGAGCCUGGCUACUGCCAAGCUCUUUCACUGACUUUGAUCAAACCACACUUGGGGCUGCGUGCAGUGGUUUAUAUCUGUAAUCCUAGCACUUAGGAAGGCCUAGGUGGGAGGAUUGCUUUAGAUCAGGAGUUUGAGACCAGCCUGGGCAAAAUAGGGAGACGUUAUCUCUACAAAAAAGUAAAAUAGGCAUGGAGGUGCACAACUGUGGCCCUAGCUACUAAGGAGGAUGAAGUGGGAGGAUCGCUUGAACCCAGAAGUUAAAGGUUGCAGUGAGCUAUGAUUGUGCCACUGCACUCUAGUCUGGGCAACAGAGCAAGAACCUGUAUCUAAUAAAUAAAUAAUAAACAAACAAACAAACCACAUUUGGGCUCUGUGUCCCUGGGUCUUUAUAGACACAAAGUAUAGCCUUGGGAAACAUGAGUGGCCUUUAUUUAUUUUUGUGAAACUCUCCCAGUAAUUCUUUUUAUAAGGCUCUUCCGUCACCUCUUUUAAGACUAACUGGAGCGGUAACCCCUCCUUAGGCUCAGAGAUGACAUUCUCUCCAUUCAGCCAGCUUGUCCUCUGCCCUCAUGGGACACAUCGCUCUUCUUGAGCUGAUGGGAGUCUGAGAAACAAUCUUAUACACCAAAGAUAACCCUCCAUUCCUCUAUGGGCAGAAAAACAGAUCGCAAUUAGAUGAGCCAGGGACCUUAAUAAAUGCAGAUGUCCAUUUAAAUAAACCAGCAACUCUUGGGAUGUAAACAGAAACAGAAACAUACUUCAUAAUUAGAGAUGAAUGAUGAGCAAAUGAGUCAGUAGAGGAUGGAUUAAAGCAAUAGUCUAUAGCAAUAAUCAGAAAGUCAGAGCCCAAAUCUCAGAUCUCUCAGUAAUUGUUAAUUUUUGUUAGAUUAUUUAGUGUUUCUGAGUUUCAGCUUCUACAUCUGUACAAAGAAUCUGAUGAUACUUAUUUGUGUGCAUGCACAAAGCUAGGUACAUUGUAGCAUUCAAAUGUUCAUCUUAAGAAACAAAAUGAAGGGUGAAGAAAAAGAGCAAACUUUGUGCAUCUAAUACCUGGUACAGUGGAGUCAACUAGUGCUUUGGGGCAUAUCACACUGGUGGUCUAAUUCCAGCUCUGCCAUCUACUGGCUGUGUGACCUUGGACUUGUCACUGACCCAUAUUCAACCUCAGUUUCUUAUUUGGAAACCUAAAGUAUUAAUGGCUGCUUGAUAUCCAAAGGAGACAGAUGAUAGGCAUCAAGUCAGUAGCUACCAAGGAUUAUUAUUUUCCACAUAAGGUACUUUUCUAAAUUCAUCCUGAUUAAUACUAUAAUAUAAUCUCAUCAUCAACCCUCUAAAGCAGGAAUUAUUAUCCCCAUUUCACAGGCCAAGAAACUGAGAGAUUUAAAACUAGACAGUGUCUGGACUGUUUCUGUGGUCUAAUUGUUUCAUCAUGCCUUAACUGAAGUAGAAGACCUGUUGACCCAUGCUGACUACUAGAGCUCCUGGCUAAGGUUUCCUUUGCUUUCCUUUGUUUGUUUGUUUGUUUUUGAGAUAGGGUCUCACUCUGUCACCUUAGCUAAUGUGAAGUAUCGCAAUCACAGCUCACUACAGCCUUGAAUUCCUGGGCUCUAAUGGUCCUCUUGCCUUAGCCUCUAGAAUAGCUGCUACAAUGCAGGUACAUGCCACCAUACAUGGCUAAUUUUUUAUUUUUUGUAGAGACUGGAGUCUUGCCAUGUUGCCCAGGCUGGUAUCAAAUUCAUGGCCUCGAGCUAUCCUCCUGCACUAGCCUUCCAUAGCCCUGAAAUUACAGGUGUGGGCCCCCAUGACCAGCCUAAGGUUCUCUCUGAUAAGUGCUAUUUCCUCCGCAGCCUUCCCAAAGCUUUGGGGGGUACACACUUUCUUUGCCUACCGUUUUCUCCUCUAGUGUGUGCAUUGACUGAAAUCACCCACUAGAUGGUGCUGAUAUACUAACUUUGGUUUGCUUUGGCAUCUACCCGGUGAAUUAAAAAUUUACUUUAUACAUCAACAAACCAAAAUCUCUACAUAAAUCUCAGCUUGUAAGAAUCAUAUACUUGUAAAGAUUUUUUUUUUUAAAUUCAGGGUGAACUCUGGAGGCUUAGUUAUCUUGCUUAAAAAUGCAGACCAGCCUUCUAUAAAUUUACCAGCUGAGGCUCUUCUAUGGCCAUGAGCAAUCUCAACACUGUGUGUGUAUCUGCUCCAGGGUGAGAUGGAAAUUAUUAGCGGCUUUUUCUCUGAGUGUAUAGCUCAAUGGGCUUGUGAGAGCCCACCAGCUCUCCAUAGCUUCUGCUUACUGCUCUGUGAAAGGAGACGCAGAAUACAGACUCGGCUCACAGCUCAUGUGAGGAUAGAACAGGGUAUUCUAGUAGAUCUGAUUACUCUCUGAUUUCCACUUCUUUCUCUUAUUGCCUGUCACAAAUGUCUAUAAAAUCAUCAUUUUGGAAAAGUAUCACACCCCUUUAUAACAACAAUAAUAACCAACCUCUAUAUAGCCUUUUGUGGUUUACAAAGCAUGUCUCUCUCAAAUAUUUAAUAUAUCUAAAUUAACAGUCAGUGUUAUUUACUCCAUUUUACAGAGGAGAAAUUAAGGCUCAAGGGAGUAAGUAGAUUCCUAAGGAUCUACAAACUAUUUAAUUACAGUGCCAGAACUUGAACCCAAGCUUUCUGAUUACAAGUAUCUGGCUAAUGUCACUACACAAGAUAAAAACCUUUAUUACAUCUAAGGAAUACACUUAUAAUGACAACUCAUAUCCUGCUACUUCUUUUCUGAAUACCUCUGAAUUUCACCUUACUUCAAAAUUCAGAGUCCCUGGAGGGAGAAAACAACCCUCUCUCCCCACUUUUCUUGUUUCCUCCCUCCUGUCUUCCAUUCUAGUGCCCAACCCAGCAAUAAAUGUUGUGGGAGGCAACAGAGAAGACACUGUCUGUGUUCCAUGUAGCUACAGAACACCAAAGCUGGAAGGGAUUAUUGUGAUUAUCUCAUCUAACCACCCCUUUUCCAUUUAAGGAAAUCAAGCCAGGAAGGACAAGAAAUAUUCCUAUAUGUGACGCCAUGGGAUUGUCUCAAAUGACCUACUUUUAAUUGCAGUGAAUCUAUACCUUGGUAUACAUUAGUUUAGAAACUGUGUUCAUGCCAACUGCAUUUCCUUUAAAAGAACAUCUAGUUUAAGUUUUUCACUCAUGCAGCAUCCCCUCUUCCCUCUGACCCCCAACAUACAUACACAAUAAUCUUGGGAUCUUCCAACUUUGUCUUAUGAAAUCUUAUCAAAGUUGAAAUCUUCAUGUCACAACUUUACUAUUUUAGGGUCUAAGGCAAAGCAAAUUCAACGAAAUCUGAGCUGUAAUUGGCCUUUUUAUUCUUUAUUUGCCUCAUACCUCCUGUUUGUCUUGUAGAUGCUUCUGCUAUUGAAAUAAUCUCAAUGUAUUACAGCUGCCUUUCUCCUUACCUGCUUCUCUCAGGGAGCUGAAUAGCCUUUGGGAAAAGAACUGAAUCUUAGAAAUCUUUGUAACUCCAGAGUCUACUCUAGUUUUUGGCAAAGAGUACAUGAUCAAUAAUUAAUUGCUAAAUUAAAUUACAGUGCAUUAAAUUGGACCUCCACAUUAAGAACCACCUCUCUGGGCAUGUAUCAUCAGGAUUUUAAAAUCCAGAUGGAUUUAGGAAAAAAGCACCUAUUAAUAGAUAUUGAAGGUUGAAGAUCUAUUAAGAUAUUUAAGGUUUAACAAACACUUUUCUAAUUCUGCCCUCCAGGUCCCACUGGUUAGAUGAGGGUAUUUGAAUUAAGGAUUAAACCACACAGAAUCUUCUAAUUUAGUAAUACUGUUUGAGCUCCUCCCAUGUGAAAAAGUAAGCAAUCAGGUGUUCUGAAGGCCACAGAAUUCUUAUAGGCAGCAACAAAUCAGGGAACACCACCUGGAAGAGGAGAAGUAGAACCAGGCUUUAAGAGGCUGAAUUUGGAGAGGCAUAGAGGAGUCCCUCCAACAAAAAGAGGGUUGCAAGGUUUAGGAUUUGCCAUGAUAUGAAAGCCUGUCUAGUCCUCUGGCUUGGUGGACUUAUAACUCCAUCAUUUUUACAGGUAGAAGGGGCUUUAAGGUCUUCUAGUUCAACCUUCCAUUACACAUGUGGGAAGACUGAGGCCAGAGCAGGGAGGUAACUUGGCCACUGUUCCCCAGCAAGUGAGCGACAGCACAGGGAUGAGAGCCCAGGUCUGACUUACAGCCCUGUGCUCUUUUCACCACAUUUCUUGAAUAAUCCACUGUGCACCUGGCGAUGCUUUUCUUUCAGAAUCCAGCCACGACUUCGUUUUCUCUGCAUGGCAGGCAGCCAAGCGCCUUGAACUUCUCCAUGUUACCAUUUUGCCCUCUGCAGAAUGGGAUAUUAAAGUAUUCACUUGGGGGAGGGGUCAUGGGGUUUCGUCAAUAAAUGUUUGUGAAUUGCUCUGAGCUAUUUAUGCCAGAGGGAUUCCAGAAGUGAAAGACCCUGGUGGCCGUGGUGGUUGUAUCUGAGCCUUUUUUGAGGUCUUCCCUCUACUCUGCAGAAUUAAAGAGAUGGUUUAAGUGAUAAACUAUUCCUUAUGAGCUGUAUUUGUGUUGAAAGCACAGCAUGAGUUCCCAGCACGCUUCCUCUAGCACAACCACAGCUAUGCACCAAUCCUCCUGGGUUCAGAGAUGGAACUUGGGUUAAAUGCAUGGAAUUUAUUCUUAGUCCUUUUCUUAAUUACGACUUUUUAUUUCUCUGGUGUUCUCUAGGGGAGGGGUUAGAGAAGAGAGGAAAAGGAAGAAAGAAAGGGGGCAGGGAAAUAUAGAUUCAAUGCUUUUGUUUUGUUUCUGGGCUGCUUGCUAUCAGCAAAGUAGAGAGAUUUAACGGAUCUUGCCGAGAAUGCAAGCCUCAUUCCAAGGAAGCCAGAGCUCAGAAGACAUGGAACAAAUACAAUGAAAACAUAACUUGAGGUCGGAAAAUGUCCCCUGAAUAUUUAUGUCAAUGUCCUACCUUAGUGAAUAUUACUUAAUACUGUGGCUCCUUUAAAGCAUUGUGAUUUCAUUAUGAAGUCAGAUGGAAUGAGGAGUGUGUAAAUCCAGAAUCAGAAUCCCAGCGACGAAGCUUUUCUUGCUCUGUUACCUUGGAAAAUGCUUUGAACCAGACCAGAUAAGAAAAGUAAAAGUCUGGAGUGUAAUCCUUCCAAUUGUCUUUUGGCUUCUCUUCUACUUCUACAAAAAGUUCAACAAGUCGGUGGGCAGAAGUCUAAAAUCAAGGUGUCAGCAGUGUGGAAUCCUUCUGGAGGCUUUGAGAAAUUAGAAUUUGAAACAACGGAAAGAGAGAAAUUUUAGGUUAGUAGCUAAAUCCCCAAGGAUACUAAUUAGAGAAAGAUGUUGGAAUUGCCUUAAUGAGUCACUGCCAACGCAAGUCCUAAGGAAGCAAAGACUGUGAGUAAGCAAAGGUAGCCAGCUGCUGGGAAGAGGACAAUAGAGGAAAAGGUCAGAGGGACUUUAAAAGACUGACUGUGGGCUCCCUGAGGGAAGGAGGGAUGGAGAGAGUAUCGGGUCCUAUAGAAUACCUUAAUUGUUUUUAUGACUUCUCUUUUCCAUAUCCAGUUCACAUGUACUCCUUUCUGUGCAUUAAAUUGAGUUUCUAUUGGCUUCUUUGUAACAAAAAGAACUGAACAGAAACACAUAUCUAUUGGACAAAGAGCAAUAAAAUGAUAUAAUAACUGUAUCUGAGGGUUUUUUCAUUUUAAAGAAUAAAACAAAACAAAAAUCAAACAAAAAAAACCAUCUAUCUGAUGUUGCUCCACUCCCAACAGCAUCACUAACCGGUAUGUACCCAGCUUCAGCUAAAUAUCCCUAAAACACCUCUUACUUUCCAAGGCAAAGUCUCCCACUGUUGAGUCGUGUUGACUGAUAAAAAGUUCCCUCUGGGGUAAAAAAAUGAAAUUAGUUUUACCUAUCCUGGGGUCACCUCCAAAUACAUAUGCCUGUAAUGUAUUUCAAUUAGAAUACAUUACACACUCCCUGUCACCUUCACUAGGAGAAAAUCAGCAAAGUCAACCAGCAUUUUUAGUUGUCACAACUAAAAGGUACUCCUAGCAUCUGGUAGGCGGAGGCCAGGGAUGCUGCUAAACAUCCUACAAUGGACAGGACAGCCUCUCACAACAAAGAAUUUCCAGCCCAAAAUGUCAACUUUGCCAAAGUAGAAAAGCCCUGUACUAAAGGAGACCUUCCAUAUAAUAGACGGAACCCCCUCUUAGAAGAGAGGCCUUAGAAAUGCUAUGGUUUUGGAGCUUUUCUAUUGAGCCCCUCAUAUUUUCCAUCAACAGCAAGGCCCAGGUAUUAAUUAUAUGGUCUUAUUCUGUGACCUGGUUUGUCAUUCCUGAAAUAGCUAAAAGUAAAACAGAUGUCAUUUCAAUAUCAAGAAGCAGUGGAACAGAAAGUGCCAAGGAGCAGGUGUAUCAGAUACUCAGAGGUGGUAAAGUCAUGGCUGUCCAUGCUUUGGAGCUAGGGCAUCUACAAUGCAAAGGAAGAUUUUAAAUGUGAAUUUUGUGUUCUGGUCUAUGAGUAGAUGAUUCACGACACUAGUUUGAAAAUGCCUGAGUAAUAACUUGACUUUGUUUCUGCACUGGACAUCUGUUGUUUUUGUUCACUGGCAUCACUUCCCUUUUCUUUUUUUCUUUCUUUUUUUUUUUCUUUUUUUUUUUUUUUUUUUUUUUUGAGACACAGUCUUGCUCUGUCCCCCAGGCUGGAGUGCAAUGGCAUGAUCUCGGCUCACUGCAACCUCCACCUCCCAGGUUCUAGCGAUUCUCCUGCCUCAGCCUCCUGAGUAGCUGGGAAUGCAUGCGCAUGCCACCACGUCUGGCCAAUUUUAUUUUAACUAGAGACAGGGUUUCAUCAUGUUGGCCAAGCUGGUCUCGAACUCCCGACCUCAGGUGAUUCCUCUGCCUCAGCCUCCCAAAGUGCUGGGAUUACAGGCAUGAGCCACCAUUCCCGGCUCCCUUCCCUUUUCUUAUGGGAACAGCAUUGAAUUUUCCUUUGAGAAAAUACCUCUCCCUAUAGGGGUAGUUCCUACAAAGUUUCGAUGGAAUUAUGUCAGAGGCUCUUAUACUUUCACACCAUGGCUUGGCAAGUAUCUCAAUCUAGGCCAAUCAGUCUUUGUUUCCUUAGGAUAUACAUCUUGAGUGAAGUAAUGCGUGAAUGGGAAACAUUUAAAGCUGAUUCAUGUGAAUUGGGAUAGUUCCUGAACAGAAUGCCUACGGUUCUUUCUAU